GAUGAACGCUGACAGAAUGCUUAACACAUGCAAGUCGAUUCGAUUUACCUUCGGGUAUUGAGGAUGGCGGACGGAUGAGUAACGCGUAAGGAACUUGCCUCUUGGUCUGGGACAACUGUUGGAAACGACAGCUAAUACCGGAUAUUAUGAGAUUCUCGCAUGGGAAACUUAUGAAAGCUAUAUGCGCCAAGAGAGAGCCUUGCGUUCCAUUAGCUAGUUGGUGGGGUAACGGCCCACCAAGGCGACGAUGGAUAGCCGGCCUGAGAGGGUGAACGGCCACAAGGGGACUGAGACACGGCCCUUACUCCUACGGGAGGCAGCAGUGGGGAAUAUUGGACAAUGGGCCACAAGCCUGAUCCAGCAAUUCUGUGUGCACGAUGAAGGUCUUCGGAUUGUAAAGUGCUUUCAGUUGGGAAGAAGAAAGUGACGGUACCAACAGAAGAAGCGACGGCUAAAUACGUGCCAGCAGCCGCGGUAAUACGUAUGUCGCAAGCGUUAUCCGGAUUUAUUGGGCGUAAAGCGCGUCUAGGCGGAAAAAUAAGUCUGAUGUUAAAAUGCGGGGCUCAACUCCGUAUUGCGUUGGAAACUGUUUUUCUAGAGUACUGGAGAGGUGGGCGGAACUACNAGUGUAGAGGUGAAAUUCGUAGAUAUUUGUAGGAAUGCCGAUGGGGAAGUCAGCUCACUGGNCAGAUACUGACGCUAAAGCGCGAAAGCGUGGGGAGCAA
Molecule: ribosomal RNA, 725 nt
Filed under: uncultured prokaryote
Description: bacterial SSU rRNA
Rfam family: Bacterial small subunit ribosomal RNA
Source: RNAcentral